RNAcentral lists this ribosomal RNA (881 nucleotides) under uncultured archaeon. RNAcentral describes it as "bacterial SSU rRNA". It matches the Rfam family "Archaeal small subunit ribosomal RNA", at positions 22 to 903 of the family's 1478-position model. The record is from RNAcentral.
GGCCAUUGCUAUCGGAGUCCGAUUUAGCCAUGCUAGUCGAGCGAGGUUAGCCCUCGCGGCGAACAGCUCAGUAACACGUGGCCAAGCUACCCUGCAGAGGGGGACAGCGUCGGGAAACUGACGGGAAUCCCCCAUACCGGUCUCACGCUGGAAUGCCGAGACCGACAAACGCUCCGGCGCUGCAGGAUGCGGCUGCGGCCGAUUAGGUAGUCGGUGGGGUAACGGCCCACCGAGCCGAUAAUUGGUACGGGGUGUGAGAGCACGAGCCCGGAGACGGAAUUUGAGACAAGAUUCCGGGCCCUACGGGGCGCAGCAGGCGCGAAACCUUUACACUGCACGAAGGUGCGAUAAGGGGACUCCGAGUGCGAGGGCAUACAGUCCUCGCUAUUGUGUACCGUAGGGUGGUACACGACCAAGAGCUGGGCAAGACCGGUGCCAGCCGCCGCGGUAAUACCGGCAGCUCGAGUGAUGGCCGAUUUUAUUGGGCCUAAAGCGUCCGUAGCUGGCCCUGCAAGUCCGUCGGGAAAUCCACUCGCCUAACGAGUGGGCGUCCGGCGGAAACUACAGGGCUUGGGACCGGAAGACUUGAGGGGUACGUCUGGGGUAGGAGUGAAAUCCUGUAAUCCUGGACGGACCGCCGAUGGCGAAAGCACCUCAAGACGACGGAUCCGACAGUGAGGGACGAAAGCUAGGGUCUCGAACCGGAUUAGAUACCCGGGUAGUCCUAGCCGUAAACGAUGUUCGCUAGAUGUGGCACAGGCUACGUGCCUGUGCUGUGUCGUAGGGAAGCCGAGAAGCGAACCGCCUGGGAAGUACGUCCGCAAGGAUGAAACUUAAAGGAAUUGGCGGGGGAGCACUACAACCGGAGGAGCCUGCGGUUU